UUAAUGCACUGAGCGAGGCCAGGGAUGAACUCAUGAUACUAGUCAGGUUCGUUACCCACUGAGCAAUGACAGGAACUCCCUAUAGUUUUCAAUAAUGCUUUAUUCUGUUCUUUCAGUAUCAGAAUCUCAGAUCCAACAUUGCCAUUUUGAGUGAUUACUUUUGACUGAAUUCAGUGAAUGGAGCAAUCUAAAGAUCAUUGUCACCAAAGUGUGGUCCUACUCUUUGUGGAUCUUUUUAAUACAAGAUUUUAAAAUGUUUAUAUCAGCAAAAGAUAAACCUAUCUUUUUUUAAUGUCUUCUAGAUUUUUAAAAUCAUAUUGAGGGAGGUGUUCCCAAUUCCAAAAUAACCCCAAAUUCUAAAUUGUUCUUCUUUCAUCAUAUUUAAAACCAUUUGGGAUUUUUUUUUCCAUAUAUGGAGUGAGGUAGGGAUCUAGCUUUGUUUUCUUCAAGCAGUUGUCAAUCAUGGAAGCAGCAUUUAUUCAAUAUAUCUCUUUCCCCCCAUCUGCCCCCAUGGUUGGGGACACAUACAUUAUACCACUUUUCAAACCCUAUCUUCUGAGAUGUUCUGUUUAUGAUGGGAAGAGGGUAGCUCUGGGUGUGUGUGGUUCCUGGGGACCACACUGACGGAUUGGGCCACUGGCUCGAGGUAGUGGAGCAGGGUCUUCUGACAGAUGUGACACUGUAGGUCAGGUUGGUCCUGCCUUUCCCAUUGUUACAGUGUGGUCAGUAAACGAAUAGACAAAGAGUCUAGGUGAUUCAAGAAGGAAAAGAACUCAUAGAGAAACAGAUUUUCCUUCAUUUUAGGAAAAAGAGAUUUUGUUUCUCAUAAGCAGCCCCUGGCACAGUCUCCAAUGCCAGGAAUUUGGAUUCAGUUGAGACUUCACACUUUAUAAAGAAAUGCUUUCAGCACCUCAGGCAGCAUGAUUAGGAGGUGAGGUUUGGCCGUCUCCUUCUCUCUUCUGUCUUCCACGCCCCUUGUUCUUAGCUCCUUUUCUCUCCUCAUUUGCUGCUGUAUUGAUGAGAAUUUUGUAGCUUUUUAAAGUGCUUCCUGUGUGAUCUUGUUCUCAAGGCUUUCAUGGGAGGCAUUCGGUGUGUUUUAGCAGAGGCCACACCAUCUCCCCUUGGCUCCUGGCAUCUCUCCUUUUCUCCCUUGACUGGCUUUGGUCUUCUCCCUCUUCUCAAACCCCUUUGUCCCCUGGCCUUCUGUUUGUCUCUUGCCACUAAACUUCCUCUUCUGUGAACUCUCUCACCUUCCUCCCAGCAGCCUUUCUCCUAAAACACAUCACAGGAGAGAUGCAAGCAGUUGGAAGCUUAAGUUCGUUACCCCUGGACUAACUUUUUCUAUCAAUGAACAUUCCUUUGUCUGUUUCAGUGAAAGAAGAAAAGUAAAAAUCUCAAACCCCCAACUUUGUAGUUAACCCAGUUUUCCUGCCUCCCCCAGGACAUCUUUCUUGCUACCUCUUCCUCAGAUAUUUCUCACCCAGGUGAUAAAAUGUAGGCAAACCCAGAAGGCAAAACCUUUCAGAGAGUAGCUCUUCAUACUCAUCUUUCCACAUUUGUGUGCCCUUGUCCCUUUGGGACACUUGGCAUGUCAAGUCCAGGCUUUUAGGUAAGUAGUAAGCACAGAUCAAAGGGGGUUCCAAUGUGUUUUUAUAAAAUUGCAUUUUCUACAUGUGUCUCUCCCACGAGAGGGUUUAGACAAAAGUGAAAAUCUGGGCAAUAUUUGUGGAAGCAAUUUCAAGUCCAAUUUUUGGGGAGAAAGUUGCAGAAUACCUUAAGUAGUGGAGGUUCCAAAGUAAAGUCAUUUGCUCUGAUUUUGAUCAGAAUGGAGAAAAGUAGAGGGAUCUGGGAGGAGCAAUGCAGAGAGAAGUAUAACAGCCAAGUUGGCCUGAAGUUCCGGAGCUAAAGUAGUAGAACAUACCAGGCUCAGCUGAGGUCUGACUCAGAGAUAAGCCCUCUGAGUUAGGAGGAAAAUACUUGAAGGAAGACUAUUGAUAAUACAAGGAUUACAGUAAACUGUGACAGACAGCAAGUGACUGUUAGUGAGAAGACAUCAAAUUGUACCUUAGAUUUUAUUUUCUUUACAACCUAUGACCUCUGAGUAGCUUCUUGACACCUGUAAAAUAAUAUUACAUUCAACAGUUUCACUCAUAGUUUUUGGUUUGAAAAUAAAAGAAUGAAAACAUACAAUUUAAUUUUUUAUGUUAGGCUCACCUUUUGUUUAUUCUCAGUACUUGAGAACUUAUAAUCAGUGUACUGACCACUGGUGACAGUAUACCCCCAUACUUUAAUUGUUUGAAGAUCUCAACUUUUUGAUACACUGCAAUGGGAAAAGGGCAGGGAAUAAGAAAGCUGAACUAUGCUGCAGUUUUGUUCCACUUUUAGCUCUUUGUCCUCUUCCUUCUCCAGGAAGUAACUUUUGGGGGAAUGAAUCCAGGAAAGUGUGUUGAGUUCUUCAGUGUUAAGGAUACUCUCACUGGCUGAUUCUGAUCCCAUGUGUACUUCCCAGGAUAUGGGGAGGCUUAUUGCUUCUGACUGAUGAACAAGACAAGACAAUGACAUGCCAGAAACCAUUCCUGCGCCAGCUCUUACAAAGCUAGUUGAUAAUGUUCACUUUCAAAAGAAGUACCAAUUCUCCCUUCCCUGGAAUAAGUAGAGAUUGUGCUGCAGGUUGUUGGAGAGGAGUUAAGGAGUUAGAAGGAGUUGAGCAUCAGAGUACCAGUUGGAUCAGCCAGCUCCCAAGUUCCCUGUCUGCCCAGAAUAUUAGAGAUCAAGAAGCUGGGCUCUACACAACAUUGUAAAUCAAUUAUAGUGUAAUAAGGAAAAAUACAAUUGAAAGGCGAAGAAGAAGAAGGAGAAGAAGUUGGGCUCUUGAGUAAGACAGAUUCCCCCCUGUUUGGAUUUUGGCUCCACCAUAUACUAGCUGUGUGAUCAUGUGCAGGUGAGUGACCUCUCUGAGCCUUUGUUUCCUCGUUCAUAAGAGAGGUAACAGCA
Molecule: long non-coding RNA, 2994 nt
Organism: Sus scrofa (pig)
Lineage: Eukaryota; Metazoa; Chordata; Mammalia; Artiodactyla; Suidae
Source: RefSeq, a predicted model, not a curated record